CCGUUAGACUUGAUCUAACGUAUUUGAAGUUUCUAGAAAAUAAUUUUUUCGAUUUUUCGAUAUCAUUUACCUAAUAAUCGAAAGGAUUCAAAAUCAAUAAUUUUUAACGGCCAAAAAUAAAAAUUCAAUAAAAAGUGGUGAUAUAGCACUAAAAUUUUCUAUCAGAAAUAUUGAUCUUGUUGUAGAUAGUAUAAAGAAUUUUGUAUCAAAAUUUCAUCUAAUUUGAAUACUUCUACACCGUCAAAUUUAAAAACGGCAGAUAUCAAACAUUAAAAAUUUAUUAAUUUUGAAUCCUUUCGAUCACUAGGUAAAUAAUAUAAAAAAAUCGCAAAAACUAUUUUCUAAAACCUUCAAAUACGCUAGAUCAAUUCUAAUGGAGCUGAUCGACGAUUCAAAAAUUCUAUUAUCGAAAACGGCUCAGGAGCAUGGAGGCCUCCAUGCUCCUGAGAGGACAGCAGCCCUACUCAUAUAUAUAUAUACCUAUAAUUAUAUUAUAUAUAGUAUAUAUAUAUAUAUAUAUAUAUAUAUAUAAUAUAUAUAGUAUAUAUAUUCUAUAUAUUAUAUAAGUCGCGCUACUAUACCUUAUAAUACGAUGCACUCACGUACCAUAAAUUGUUUUCGAAUGAUAGGCGUCCAAAUCGCGACGACCACUUCCGUAAAUGUUAUUCUAGAGCAUUUGAAUACUCUAAAAAAAUCAAAUUUCAUAAUUUUUCGACAUCAUUUACCUUACGAUCAAAAGCUCACAAAAUUGACAAUUUUUAACGACCGGUAUAGAAUACUUGCUAGUUUAACGGUGCAAAAGAAUCCGAAUAGGUUGAAUUUUUGAUAAAAAAUUCUAUUUACUACCUAGAUAAAGAUCAAUAACUCCGAUCUUAAAUUGAAGGAUCCGAUCAUCCAUUUUUAAGACAUCGUUCAAUUUCAACAGUUCAUUUUAUGCCCGCUUGAUGGACUUUAUUAUAAUUUCGAAAAAUUACAAAAUUUAUUUUUUAGAAGUUUCAAAUACUCUAGAUCAUAUUUAACGGAGUUAAUCGUCGAUUCGGAAGCUCUAUCAUCGAAAACAACUUAUCAGUACGAAGGGCCCAAUACUCAUAAUAGUAUAGUAGCCCUACUAUAUAUAUAUAUAGGGAAAACUUCAAGAAACCCCCCUGUGGUUUCAUAGUUUCUCACUUUGCCCCCUGUGGUUUAAAAUGUAUCAAAUUGCUCUCCUGUGAUUUUGUUUUUAUCUUUUCGUUAGCUUUUUCGUUAAUAUUUCUUUAAAUUAUAUACAAAAAACUCUAGAUACUCAUCUAGAUUUAUCAAAUAUUCACUUUAGUACCCUUUAAUUUUAACUUUAUCACUGAUUUAAGAAAAAAAUAAUGAAAUUGAUAAGAAAAAAAAAAAAAAAGAAACCACAGGGGGGCAAAUUGAUACAUUUUAAACCACAGGGGGACAAAGUGAGAAACUACGAAACCACAUGGAGGGUUUUUGAAGUUUUCCUAUAUAUAUAUAUAUAUAUAUAUAUAUCGCUAGGGCUACUUUACUCUUAUGAGUAUUAGCCCAUUUGUACUCAUAAGUUUUUCAUCAUUGGAAGAAGGGAUGUGCGGUUUUGGAUGACCCUAAGGUUGGCUGGGCGGUUGGUUGGUUGAAUAUUAUAAUCUAGCAGGUAGAAAUAGUAAAAAGGAUAAAUCUAACGGACUAAAACUUAUGAAUACAAAAGGAUCUUUACUUAUAAGAGUAUAGUAGCUGAACUCUCUCUCUCUCUAUAUAUAGUGAGAGUGAGAGUUUGGCUACUAUACUCUUAUGAGUACGAUCGCCUUCGUACUCAUAACUCGUUAUCAAUGAUAGAACUUUCGAAUCGACGAUUCAUGCCGUUAAACAUUAUACAGAGUAUUUAAAACUUUUAGUAAUUAAAUUUUAUAAUUUUUUAUCAUAAUUUACCUCACGAUCAAAAGAUCUCAAAAUUAAUAAUUUUUAACGGCCGGUAUGAGAUACUUGCUAUUUUAACAGUGUAAAAAAACCGAAAUCAAUUGAAUUUGUGAUAAAAAAUUCUAUUCACUAUCUAGAUAAAGAUCAAUAACUUCGAUCUUAUAUUGAAGGAUCCGAUCAUUCAUUUCUAAGACGCCGUUUCAUUUUGACCGAAAAAUGAAAUUUAGUUUGCAAAUACUUUCAAUAGUGUAGAUCAAGUCUAAUGGAGCCGAUCGUCGAUUCGGAAGCAGCAUCAUAGAAAACAACUUGGUAGGACGGAGGCGUCCGUGCUACCAAUAGUAUAGCAGCCUAGCUCUCUCUCUCUAUAUAUUUAAAUAUAUGAAAUUACGGAAUGAUAAGAUAUUUAAAAUUUCGUACUACUUCAAUUGAAUGUGGCUUAAAGAUUAGCACUAGAAGGGAAAUGAAAACGAAACGUUCGGUGUUGACGCAAAUAUCAUUAUUUUGUAAUAGAAUCAAGAGAUAGUUGAAAGAAGAAAAACAGCCGAAGAAUAAUUAAUUAAAUUCUCCAAGCUGUAUAUUAGUGCCCAGAACAGAGAUCUUGCCUGAACUUGGACUACCAGGUCGGCUGUGGACCGGAAGCCCAUCUAGCCUUCAUUCCAAAUUAUCAGUAUCCAGUAAAAAUUAUUAAACAAAAAUCAGAUUUUCUUUUUUUGAAGAUGAGAAUUGAAACCCGUAAUUUAAUAAACAUCAGCAUUUUGAAAUCAAAGUUUCCUUUUUUUUUUUGGAAGGUGUGGAUUGAAAAGAAAGACGCAACGAAGCGAUGUUUAUAAGGCGGUCCACCACUGACCUGGUGCACCAGGUGGACGCAACAAAAGCUCAAGCGAGGUACUUUAGCCCCAUAUCGACUGCAGCGAAGAACGGAAGAGGCAAGGAGAGUACAAGAAGAGGCCUCGUCCGUGAUUCAAACUCAUACCUUUCUCGGCCUUUUGGCUAAGAUCAAGUGUAGUAUCUGUUCUUAUCAGUUUAAUAUCUGAUAUGUGGGCCAUGCGCCCACCUCGAUAUUAAAUUAAUUUUUUGUGGGGGAGGGCCCAUCCACGGUAGCUUGCUACCGGGGCCUUCGCGCGUCGCCCUUGCGUUGCACUACUGUUUGGGCCUGGCGCACCCCUACCAAUUCUUAACAGCAAAAUGUUUUUAAUUUAUUACUUGCUUGCUGGGCUUGCGUACAAAGGAAGAAUGGUGAAAAUUAUUCUUCAAUUUUUUUUUUUUGUAUAAAUCUGGAAAGGCCCAUUUUUGGAAUCUGAAUAGAAAAAUUAUUUAUACACAAGAUCAAAACUAUAGCGAUAAUUCAUUUUCCUCUUAACUUCCUCUCGAUAAUGUGUGAAACAGUUGGCAAUGACAUAAUAAAAUAGUAAGAAAUAAAAAUACAGUCAGAGGCUACAAUAUUCAGAGAAUCGGAUUUAUAUGCAAACCUCCUAUGGUUGUCAAGUUACGGGCUAAGAGGUAUAGGUAGGAACGCAAAUGGGGCGGGUCCGGAGGCUGGAGUCCCCUCUCGCGUCUCUCAUGUCCCUUCCCAAGUAUCUCCCACCCCGAAUAUGUGAUGGGUUAAGAAAUAUAUCCCAUAAUUCGUUCCGCCUCAUAAUCCAUUUUCUAUCGGCGCUCCGAAUCUUCUCUGCCAAUUAAUAUUUUUUUAAAAAAAUUAUAAUAUUAUUAAUAUUUUAUAAAAUAUAAAUUAAUAUUUUUUUAAUAAUAAUUAUAAUAUUACUAAGUUAUGUAUAUAAUAUUAAUAAUAUCAAUUAUAAAAAGCAAAAUUCAAGUUUUAGACACAUGAGAAAUGAGAGCACCAACUUAUUUGUAUUUUGGACUUUUUUUGUAAAUAUAUUAUUUUUUAGGAAUAUUUUUAAAAUAUAAAUAAUUUUUGGAGUGGAUUCCGAGUGAAUCAUGGCACUGCAGAUUCGGGCCGGGGCAAAUUUUUUUUCGUUUCCUACCCCAAAUCUGUUUCGGACCAUAAAAAUUACUCCGUUUUCUGUCCCGAAUCCGUUUAUUUAUUUCUGUUUAUUGCCCCAUUCGGGAAGGAUCGGGACGGACGCUCUACCAACCAGGAUCUGUUUGCAUUGCCAAUAGAGCGGAGAGCUGGUAGUCACACUUAGGAAAACCAUAAUGCAACCAGACAACCUUAAAUGAACCCAGGACACUGUUGGUUCAAUACGGUAAUAUAAUAUUGGAUUAUAGUAUAUGUAGGAUUACUAGAGUUGGUUCGUUUUAAAAUUCGGUAAUCAAGACAAUAAAGUGUAUUUUAUUCCAAAAUUAUCAUUUAUGAUCAUAUUUAAUAUUAUUUUUUAAUAAACUUAAAUUAAUAUAAUUUGUACUUGAUUAAUUUUAUUAAUAAGCAAAUAUAAGUAGAGGUGGAACUGGGCCCGGGCCUAAACAAGGCCCGGCCCGAUGGGCCAUGUUUGGGCCGGACUUUGGGUAUUAAAAAUAUAACUUGUGGUUCGGGCCGGGUUUAAAAAUUUUGGCCCGAAAAAAUUUAGGCCUAUUUGGGCAUGUCCAAGCCCGGCCCGAGCCCGACCCAAAAGCCCAAUAUAUUAAUUAUCCAAAUAAAAUAUUUAAUUAUAUANGUUCGGGCCGGUCUUACAAAUUUUGGCCCGAAAAAAUUUUGGGCUUAUUUGGGCAUGUCCAAGCCCGGCCCGAGCCAGACCCAUAAGCCCGAUAUAUUAAUUAUCAAAAUAAAAUAUUUAUAUAUAUAUAUAUAUUAUUUAUCUAUUAAAAGAAAUAAAUGGUAUAGUAUAUCAUAUAUAGUAUAUAUUGUUAUUAAUGAUAUGUACUUAUAUAUAUGAGGAUAUAUUAUAUAUCAACAAAAUAUUUAGUUUUAUAUUAGGAUAUAUUUGUUAUUAGAUAUUAAUUUCUUUGAUGUGAUAAAACUAAAAAUAGGUAUUUUAUUUUAAUUUUAUACAAAUAAAAGUAUUUAUGUAUUAUAUGAUACAUGCAUAAAAUGGGCCUCCACAAAGCCCGCUGGGUAUUGGGCAUUGGGCUUGGGCUUAGGCCGGGCCAUCAUUUUCAAAAAAAUUAGGUAAACGCCCGACCCAAAGCCCAACAUUUUUAUUUGGGCCGGGUUUGGGCAUAGUAUUACCCUACCCAAAUCCGGCCCUGUUCCACCCCUAAAUAUAAGACAUAAAUAAAAAAACCGCACAUGAAAACAAUUUAUAAAGCCAAAUUGGUUUUAACCCAUAGAAGAAUAAAUUAAAAAAUAUCAUAUUACAUAAUAAUAUGAUCAUACAAGAACAAGUACAUUUUAGUUUAAAAAACUAAAAUUUUAUUUAUAAGCAAUAUCAUUAACCAAAUAUCUUAAGAAAAUCUCGCUCCAGCCCAGCUCAUUAAAAGACCCAUUUUUCUUAAAAGAUCCACCCCAUGUACAAAAGCCCACCAUUUCAAUCUGAUUCCUUUUAUUGUUUCUUGUCUCGGGUAGUGCCGAAUUCCCAUUUUUAUCAACUUUUUGACCCCAAUUCCUCAAACUAGGAUGAGGGCCUUCUUUAUAUAUAUAUANAGAUAUCCAAAUCAAUUGAAUUUUUAUUAGAAAAUUCUUUAAACUAUUGAAAACAAGAUCUAUACUCUUGAUCUUGAUUACAAGACUCCUAUCAUCAUUUUUUAAAAAAUAUUCAUUUUUAGCCGUUCAUUUUUAUGUCCACUCAAUGGAUAAGAGAACAAUAUCGAAAAUAUAUGAAAUUUGAUUUCUAAAUACUUCAAAUGGUAUAGAUCAUGUUCAACGAUGCCGAUCGUCGAUUUGGAGGCUCCAUUAUCGAAAAUAAAUGGGUGGCAAAAGUGCCAGUUUGCUAUCGAUAGUAUUCUAGCUCAACUCUAUAUAUAUAUAUAUAUAUAUUGAGAGAUUAGGUAGCACGCUACCCGCUUCGUUUAUUUUAUUUAGAAAUAAACUUAGCUAGAAAUAUGAAUCAACUAGGAUUUGAACUUGGAACCUCCAGUACCAACCACCAAGCUCUUUGCCACUUGCUCUAGGGACGGUCAGUAUGAGGGCCUUCUUUAUAGAUCUUUGGAUUUGGCGAUUUGGGCAAAAUUUGUUGUUUUUGUGUUCUCUUGGGUAUUUUUACAAACACCUAAUGUGCAAGGAUCUGCUGUUUUGAUGGAAUUUAAUAAUUUAGGGGUGUAAUGUGAGUCGUGCUGUGCCCCGUGCGGAUUCAGCCUAGGGUUGGCUCGGUUACAAAUCCUGGCCAACCCGUGCCAGCCCGCUUUCUCAGAGAAGAAGGCCUAGCCCGGCCGCUUGGACUGCCCGGCACGUGCUAUGCCGGGCCAAGCCGGGCUUCGUGCUAGCCCAGUAAAAAGUUUUUUUUUUAAUUUCUUCCCAACCGUCUUUUGUUAAAUUUUUUUUUAAUUUUUUUUUAGUAAAAAGAGAUAACUAAUUUUUAAAUUAUACCUUCUCGAUUUUUUUUUAUUUACACAAUUAUACCCAAAUUUUUUUUAAACUCUUGUAAUAAUUUUAUAAAUUUUAAAAAAAGCUAAAAUACUAACCAUAAAUUUAACAUUUUUAAUAUCAUUAAUUUUUAAUAUUAUAUAAAAUUUAAAACAUAGAGAUCAAUAAUUUUAACUUUUCAAAUAUAUUAGAUGUUUUAAUAUAAAUUUUUUAAAUUAGGUUUCGUUUAGGAUUGUGGGAAAAUUGUACUACAUGCGGUGAGAAAGUACGAUGAAAAAAUAUUCUAUUUGUUUCCGUGCGUAAUAUUGCAUUCUGCAUAUGGCAAUGAGUCGGUUAUGAUAUAUUUUUUGCGGCCCCACUAGAGAACGCAGAAGCAUAUUCUUAAAUGCUUUAUCCCGACUCAAUUUUAUCUAAUAAUAUUAUAUGGACUUUAAUACAAAACUAAGCCUUACAUUUCUGUGAUCCAAUAACCAACUUUAAUAUAAAAUUUUUAAUAUAAGAUUAAAUAUUUUGUUGAGAUUGAAACUUUUGUUAAAAAAAAAGUUGUUGAAAAGAUUAAAAAAAUUUGCAAAGCUAACUUGAGGAAAAAAAAUUUUAGAUUGAAAGUUUGAGAGUAGGAAGAAUUAGUGUUUGGGGAAGAAAUGAACGAAGAGUUGUUUGUUGAAAUGAAUUUGAAAAUUUGUAAAAGCAUUUAUAGAUGUAAAAAAAUUUUAAAUUUUUUUUAAAAAAUAGAAAAUAUUUUUGACCAAAAUGUCCUAUCUAACGGUCAAAAUUUUGAAUGCUAGUAAAGGCAUUAUGGUCAUUUUCAGCAAAAAGAUGUCUUUUUUAAUAUUUUUAUCUUUUUUUCAAAAAAAAAUAAUUUUCAUAUAUAUAUAUAUAUAGGCAGGACUGCUGUGCUCUCAGGAGCCGUUUUCGAUGAUGGAAUGUCCAAAUCGACGAUCAGCUCUGUUAGACUUGAUCUAACGUAUUUGAAGAUUCUAGAAAAUAAUUUUUUGCGAUUUUUCGAUAUCAUUUACUUAGCAAUCGAAAGGAUUCAAAAUCAAUAAUUUUUAACGGCUGAAAAUAAAAAUCCUAUAAAACGUGGUGAUAUAGCACUAAAAUUUUCGAUCAGAAAUAUUGAUCUUGUUAUAGAUAGUAUAAAGAAUUUUGUAUCAAAAUUUCAUCUGAUUUGAAUACUUUUACACCGUUAAACUUGAAAACGGUAGAUAUCAACCAUUAAAAAUUAUUGAUUUUGAAUCCUUUCGAUCACUAGGUAAAUGAUAUCAAAAAAUCGCAAAAAUUAUUUUCUAGAAUCUUCAAAUACGCUAGAUCAAGUCUAACGGAGCCGAUCGUCGAUUUGGAAAUUCCAUCAUCGAAAACGGCUCAGGAGCACAGCAGCCCUGCUAUAUAUAUAUAUAUAUAUAUAUAUAUAUAUAUAUAUAUAUAUAUAUAGAGAGAGAGAGAGAGAGAGAGAGAGAGAGAGAGAGAGGGAGAGAGAGAGUUGAGCCGGAAUGUUACCAAUAGCAAACUGGUUUUAUUGCCAUCCAUUUGUUUUCCAUAAUAGAGCCUCUAAAUCGAUGAUCGGCACCGUUGAACAUAAUCUAUACCACUUGAAGUAUUUAGAAAUUAAAUUUCAUAUUUUUCUGAUAUUAUUUUUUGUCCAUCAAGUGAACACAAAAAUGAAUGGCUGAAAUAAAUAUCUUUUAAAAAGUGAUGAUAGGAGUCUUCUAAUCAAGAUCAAGAAUAUAAAUCUUGUUCUAAAUAGUUUAAACAAUUUUCUAACCAAAAUUCAAUUAAUUUGGAUAUCUUUAUACCGUUAAAUGAGAAAACAUCUUAGAUCGACAACUAAAAUUAUAAAUUUUGAGACCUUUUAAUAAUCUGACCAAUAAUGUCGAAAAAAUUAGAAAUUUGGUUUCUAGAUUUUUUAAGUGGUAUAGACCAUAUUCAAUGGUACCGGUCGUCAAUUUGAAGGCUUCAUCAUCAAAAUAAAUAGAUAGCAACGGAACUCAUUUGUUACUAAUAGCAUUCAAGCUCAACUCUCUAUCUCUUUCUCUAUAUAUAUAUACUAGUUGUAAUGCACGUGCGAUGCACGUCAUAUUUAAUUAAAUUAAGUUUAUAUUUAUAUUUUAAAUUUAAAUAAUUAUUGGUGGUAUAUAUCUAUUUAUCAAUUAAAUUUUUUUUAACUUUAAUUUUUUUAAUGUGUAUCCAAAUUUAUAUAUAUGAAAAUUGGAUUUUUGAAAAUCUGAUUACUGUUAUUCAAAUUACUGUUAUUCAGUAAAAAUCAGUAUAUGAAAAUCGGAUUUUUUUUUUUUU
This 8617-nucleotide long non-coding RNA is filed under the name Ananas comosus (pineapple). RNAcentral's name for it is "long non-coding RNA (ACOM_LNC023060)". The stretch from base 2875 to 3072 matches the Rfam family "U2 spliceosomal RNA". Lineage: Eukaryota; Viridiplantae; Streptophyta; Magnoliopsida; Poales; Bromeliaceae. The record is from RNAcentral.